This 419-nucleotide ribosomal RNA is filed under the name uncultured Prevotella sp. RNAcentral's name for it is "bacterial SSU rRNA". It matches the Rfam family "Bacterial small subunit ribosomal RNA", at positions 358 to 774 of the family's 1533-position model. The record is from RNAcentral. Lineage: Bacteria; Pseudomonadati; Bacteroidota; Bacteroidia; Bacteroidales; Prevotellaceae.
GGAAUAUUGGUCAAUGGGCGAGAGCCUGAACCAGCCAAGUAGCGUGCAGGAUGACGGCCCUAUGGGUUGUAAACUGCUUUUAUGCGGGGAUAAAAUUCGUCACGUGUGGCGUUUUGCAGGUACCGCAUGAAUAAGGACCGGCUAAUUCCGUGCCAGCAGCCGCGGUAAUACGGAAGGUCCGGGCGUUAUCCGGAUUUAUUGGGUUUAAAGGGAGCGCAGGCGGGUUGUUAAGCGUGACGUGAAAUGUAGCCGCUCAACGGCUGAACUGCGUCGCGAACUGGCAGUCUUGAGUGAGUACGACGUCAGCGGAAUUCGUGGUGUAGCGGUGAAAUGCUUAGAUAUCACGAAGAACUCCGUUUGCGAAGGCAGCCAACAAGGCCUUUACUGACGCUAAAGCUCGAAUGUGCGGGUAUCGAACA